Molecule: unclassified non-coding RNA, 373 nt
Filed under: uncultured Curreya
Lineage: Eukaryota; Fungi; Ascomycota; Dothideomycetes; Pleosporales; Cucurbitariaceae
Description: sequence contains ITS2
Rfam family: 5.8S ribosomal RNA (bases 1-154)
Source: RNAcentral
ACCGUUUGGCAAUGGAUCACUGGGCUCUGGCAUCGAGGAAGAACGCAGCGAAAGGCGAUAAGUAGUGUGAAUUGCAGAAUUCCGCGAAUCAUCGAAUCUUUGAACGCACAUUGCGCCCCUCGGUAUUCCGUGGGGCAUGCCUGUUCGAGCGUCAUUUACACCCUCAAGCUCUGCUGGGUGUUGGGCGUCUGUCCCGCCUCUUGGGCGCGGACUCGCCUCAAAGCGAUUGGCGGCUGGUACCACGGCCUGGAGUGCAGCAGAAUUGCGCCCCUCGCCCGCGGUCUGGCUCCCAGAAGCGAACCUUUUUUACUUGUUUGACCUCGAAUCAGGUAGGGAUACCCGCUGAACUUAAGCAUAUCAAUAAGCGGAGGCU